Molecule: ribosomal RNA, 271 nt
Filed under: uncultured prokaryote
Description: partial 16S ribosomal RNA
Rfam family: Bacterial small subunit ribosomal RNA
Source: RNAcentral
UACGUAGGGGCGAGCGUUGUCCGGAAUGAUUGGGCGUAAAGGGCGCGCAGGCGGCCAUUCAAGUCAGUAGUAGGAAGUCCAUUUUUCAAGGGUGGAAGUGCUAUUGAAACUGUAUGGCUUGAGUGCGGGAGAGGUUAUCGGAAUUCCCGGUGUAGCGGUGAAAUGCGUAGAGAUCGGGAGGAACACCAGUGGCGAAGGCGGGUAACUGGACUGCAACUGACGCUGAGGCGCGAAAGUGUGGGGAGCAAACAGGAUUAGAUACUCCGGUAGU